CAGAAAUAAUUGGUUCUGGCCCAUAACAAAUCUUCACCUCGAUUCCAUUGGUUUGUAUCUCGGGCAACACAAGAGACCUUCCGUAAUGGCUCAAAAUAUCCCUACUGGAUAAUCAUGUGGCGAUGUGCAAGAUGGACCCCGGAGGAGGGCAGAGCGUGGAGGACCCCGGCGGCCAGGAACCCAGGCGGGGGUGGCCACCUCAAGGUGCCGUGCAGCAGCUGGUGUUGUGAAUCAGGCCGUCACCAGUCGGAGAACGGCUACUUCACAACACCAGGGUCGCACCACACCACGGUUCGACCGCCAGCCGGAGAGGAGCGGAGGAGGUUCCCGCAGGCAGGCAGGGGACGUGGAGCACCUCCUGGCUGCCUCCACCCGAGCCCAGACCUGCAAAGGUAAUCAGGUGCUCAACUCCUAUUUAGGCACCAGCCUCCCACUGAAGUCUGAAAUAGAAGUUCGGCCCCUAAAUAUCUCUGUGGGUCUGGCCCCGAGACCCUGCCUUGCCGGUGCAGUGCAGAGCAGUGCUUCCGCAGGCACAGGGCAGUGCUUGCAUGCCCCGGGAAUAUUCAGGAAUGGGUAACUUUUAUUAAGCCGUGGAAAAUAUUUAAAAAAAAAAAAAAAAGCC
Chroicocephalus ridibundus (black-headed gull) is the source of this 622-nucleotide long non-coding RNA. RefSeq lists it as uncharacterized. The transcript is spliced from 2 exons. The record is from RefSeq and is a predicted model, not a curated record. NCBI's taxonomy places the organism in Eukaryota, Metazoa, Chordata, Aves, Charadriiformes, Laridae.